Chelonoidis abingdonii (Abingdon island giant tortoise) is the source of this 144-nucleotide non-coding RNA. Lineage: Eukaryota; Metazoa; Chordata; Testudines; Testudinidae. The record is from RefSeq and is a predicted model, not a curated record.
CUCACAUGUGAUCUUUUAAGUAUGAGAAAACUCAGCCAAAAGAUUGUUGAGUAUUCUCAAAGGAGGGAGUUGUUGGUGUCACUAAGCAUAACCCUAAGUAACUUGGGAGGGUGGAAGGCCACAAGGGUAUGGAGCCUUCCUGGU